AAUAAUGGACAAUGGGCGCAAGCCUUGAACAGCCAUGCCACGGUAGAGAAGAAGGGCUCAGGGGUGUAAAGCUCUUUCUCCGGAGAAGAUAAUGACGGUAACCGGAGAAGAAGCCCCGGCUAACUUCGUACAAGCAGCCGCGGUAAUACGAAGGGGGCUAGCGUUGUUCGGAAUUACUGGGCUUAAAGCGAACGUAGACGGAUUAUUAAGUCAGGUGUGAAAGCCCGCAGCUCAACUGCAGAACUGCCUUUGAUACUGGUAGUCUAGAGACCGAGAGAGGUAAGUGGAACUCCUAGUGUAGAGGUGGAAUUCGUAGAUAUUAGGAAGAACACCAGUGGCGAAGGCGGCUUACUGGCUCGGAACUGACGCUGAGGUGCGAAAGCGUGGGGAGCAAAC
RNAcentral lists this ribosomal RNA (396 nucleotides) under uncultured bacterium. Its description in RNAcentral is "partial 16S ribosomal RNA". It matches the Rfam family "Bacterial small subunit ribosomal RNA", at positions 360 to 773 of the family's 1533-position model. The record is from RNAcentral.